Non-coding RNA from Schistosoma curassoni, 46 nucleotides. Lineage: Eukaryota; Metazoa; Platyhelminthes; Trematoda; Strigeidida; Schistosomatidae. The record is from Rfam.
GCACUACUGAUGAGUCCCACAAUAGGACGAAACAGCCUUUCAGUGC